GACGAACGCUGGCGGCGUGCUUAACACAUGCAAGUCGAGCGGUAAGGCCCUUUUGGGGGUACACGAGCGGCGAACGGGUGAGUAACACGUGGGUGACCUGCCCUCAGCUCUGGGAUAAGCCUGGGAAACUGGGUCUAAUACUGGAUAUGACCUUUCCUCGCAUGGGGUUGGGUGGAAAGUUUUCGGCUGGGGAUGGGCCCGCGGCCUAUCAGCUUGUUGGUGGGGUGAUGGCCUACCAAGGCGACGACGGGUAGCCGGCCUGAGAGGGCGACCGGCCACACUGGGACUGAGACACGGCCCAGACUCCUACGGGAGGCAGCAGUGGGGAAUAUUGCGCAAUGGGCGGAAGCCUGACGCAGCGACGCCGCGUGGGGAUGAC
This 379-nucleotide ribosomal RNA is filed under the name uncultured bacterium. RNAcentral describes it as "bacterial SSU rRNA". It matches the Rfam family "Bacterial small subunit ribosomal RNA", at positions 28 to 412 of the family's 1533-position model. The record is from RNAcentral.